CCUACGGGGGGCAGCAGUGAGGAAUAUUGGUCAAUGGACGAGAGUCUGAACCAGCCAAGUAGCGUGAAGGAUGACUGCCCUAUGGGUUGUACACUUCUUUUAUAUGGGAAUAAAACGUUCCACGUGUGGGAUUUUGUAUGUCCAAUCUGAAUAAGGAUAGGCUAAUUCCGUGCCAGCAGCCUCGGUAUUACGGAAGGUCCGGGCGUUUUCCGGAUUUAUUGGGUUUAAAGGGAGCUUAGGCCGGCUUUUAAGUCAGCUUUGAAAGUCCUCGGCUCAAGGGUGGAAUUGCAGUUGAAACUGGAGGCCUUGAGUGCACACAGGGAUGCCGGAAUUCAUGGUGUAGCGGUGAAAUGCAUAGAUAUCAUGAAGAACACCGAUCGCGAAGGCAAGUGUCCGGGGUGCAACUGACGCUGAGGCACGAAAGUGCGGGUAUCAAACAGGAUUAGAUACCCGAGUAGUC
Molecule: ribosomal RNA, 460 nt
Filed under: uncultured bacterium
Lineage: Bacteria
Description: partial 16S ribosomal RNA
Rfam family: Bacterial small subunit ribosomal RNA
Source: RNAcentral